CUGUUGAUAACUAUAUGACCUACAAGAAAGUAACACUCAUAUGAUUUAUGCUGACGUUCAUGUCAUUGAAUUUGGGUCUGGGUAGAUGUAAUUUAAUAAAAUUGUACACAUUAGCGAAAAAAAAAAAAGAAGUUUGACUGCCUGUUUAAACAAACCAUUAAUCGUGCAAGAAAAUAGAAAGGCGGAGCAACGUCGCCUGACUGCCGCUUACUGAUUACGUCAUUUACGCGGGAACUCUUCGCGCGCAGAGCUUCAUUCACUCAAUCCACAGCAAAGGUGCAGCGUCUCAUGCAUCUCAUGUUUUGCUAAUAUAGUUGCAAAAUUUAGAAAUUUCGUGGCAUUCAUUUUAAAGUAUGAAUUUGGAUUGCUUAGUUAGUUUUGUGAGUUGAAGGGGCUGAAGAUGCAUCUAUGGAAUACAUUUUAUUCAACGCAUUUUGGAUGUUCCGCUUUGUAUUUAAUUUAUUUGAAAAGCAGAAACAAAUCGGAUGACAAUGAGGGGACGCUCUUUUGCUUGAAGUUCCCAGGUCCACUUGGAUUCAAUGCAUGCUAGAAGCAGUCCUCCGAGUCCUCAUGUGUGGCUGUGGAGAGUCAGGGGAAGAUCAGGCUAAUUUUCCUGUGCAGGAAACAACUCGGGCCUUGGAAACACCUAUAAACCAGAGUUCUGUACGGCCCUGGUAUUGAAGGAUGUUUUUCCUGACGCAUCACCCUGUCGACCACCAGUGAACCAUUCAAGGGGGACCCAGUUGUAAGUUGUGCUGUUCAGGUUGCAAUGCAGAGCACAUCGGAGUCAUCCUACUACAUGUGCCUUCUGACUAUUACACCUCUGCAAACUGUAAUAACCUGAGUCACCUUCCAUCACCAACAAAUCUGGAAGAAUUCCAUCAUGUGCUAUGCAGGAUAUGUGCAAAAUGUCCAGUGAAGUAUGCCAAAUUAUGCCAACAGCUGUUGACACCAAUGUAUGAAAUGAUAGACAUUCUGGAACAUGAAAAAACAUGGCAUUGUCUUAUGUCUUGCAGCUAGCAACAGAAAGGCUAUGAUGAAUUUUUAGCUAUGAGGUACUUUUAUUUGAAAGCAUUGGGCUACUGAUCAGAAGGUUGAGAGUUCAAAUCCCAGCACCAUCAAGUGUGAGCCAAUUAAGCAAAAUGGAAAAGUACCAAUGGCUGUAUGUAUCAGGGAUAUUAGUUAGGGUCUAGUUGAAUAACAUUCCUUUACAAACAUCUAUCAACUAACAUUACUGAAUGGUGGCAACUGUUACCCUUUAAUGAUUAGCCAUUAAUAAUUAGUUCAUUAGUACUUGGUUCAAUCCAAAGAUGGGGUCUUCAGUGGGUUAUGACUAUAACAUUCUUUACUUACCCCCAACAUUAGUUUUGCCUGGUGCAUGCCAUCUCAGAAUAGUAUUCAAAAAACAAUUAACAUUCUUCAGAUAUCUUCAGAUACAGAGGUCACAGAAAAUACGGUGGAUAGACUAACAGAAAACAUGUGUCCCUUUUCUGUACAUAUGUAGAUGUGCUUGGCAAUUCUUGACAUCAUCUCACUGUCUGCUUUUUUUGCACUUUUUAUCUGAUAAUGCAAUUUCAUUCUUGCACUUUUAUAAUGUACAUUUUCUGCUUUUACAGUGUUUGCUGAAUUUUAACUGUAGCACUUAAUUCUAUAGCAUUUACUCACAUUGUUUACCUGCAUUAGUUUUUGUUCUGUAAUAAAUUUUAAGGAAUUAAGCUGGUUAAUUUAUAUGGCCCUAUUGCUGCAAAUUGUCUUGAUUUUAGACAAGUGUAUUUGUGAAAUUUUGCAGCAGUAAGGUGGCCUACCCAUUGCAUUUUGAGGAAAAAAGAAAAUGCGAAAUAAUACUGUAUUGAUUGAUGAAUUUUUAAUUUUCAUGUUUAAUUUUAUGUUUUCACCAUCAUUGUAAAUUAAGCUUCUGUUUUCUGCUGCCCUUAUUUAUCCGUCCUUUAUUGUGUAAAUAUUUGCGUAGGCCAAACUAAAAAACUAAACAUAGAGCUAGAUGCCUAUGGGUACUGAUGCACUGCGGUUCUUUUGCCAUUUUUUUGUUGUCCUAAUUCAAUGGCCUUAUUUGUUUUCAUUUGUAUUUUUAAUUUUUUUUGGUUUGCUUUAAUUUAAAUCUGAAAUCACCGAUUUUCACAAAAGCAUUAAAUCUGUGUGUAAUUGAAAUAAAUAAACUAUUUAAAGUUGAUAAUAUAUUUUAUAUAUAAAACUGUGCAAACUCAUGCAAUCGGAAGUGAGUUUAUUUAUAGCUAAAUUUACACAAAAUCUGGAACUCUCAUAGAAUACAAAUAGUUUUCUGAAAUAACUUGAUUUUUAUGAAUACUAAUUUUUUUUAUGUAAUAGCUCUGCAAUUCAAAAACAAAUUUGUUUGUACCCAGGUUGAUAAAAGAGGCCCUGUGUGUUUUUUAAUGUACAGUAAUGUAUUUUUUUUUAAACAUAUCAAAUGCAUAGUUAAAUUAGUGUAAAUGUAACUUCUUAAUAAAACAAUUUUGAUAUGUUACUGGAGCAGUGUGUUCUAUAAAAACCUUAACUUACAUUAAAGACAUACUCUACUGUCUAGGAAUGUCCCACAAAAAUGCAUCGUACACCCAACAAAGUGAAUUGCAUUUCACAUCAAUUGCCUCUACAGAGUUUGUGUAAUGGAUAUUCAGAGUCAGUUUUGCCCCCACUGCCUUGGUGGGAUUCUCUCAAAAUAAAUUAUUGCAUUCAAAUGGCAGACAUUCCUUCAUUUUGUAUGGAUAACUGAUAAACCUAUGCUAAUAUUUCUACAUUUUAAUAAAUAAGUAAAAUAAUGACUAACAAAUCCUUCUACACUGGCCAUGAGUUUAACUGUUGCAGCAAAUGCUUCUGUGAGCACACACUGUGGUUACUUGGAAAACACAUUAGAAAUUACUCUUGACCCUGAGACUAAGAAAUCUGAUCCCAUAUUGAUUUUUUUAGUUAAUGUACAAAUCUCCACUUAACAGCCAGACAACUCCUGCCCAGCUGAAAGCCCACUUACACACAACUAGUAAUCUUGUAAUCAAUGUUUUGUCUGCAUUUGAACCCUUGUACUCAUAUCAUAAUCACAUUUCAGGCAAAGCUUAGUAGAAUCAGAUAAAUAUUCAUAAAUAUUCAUAACGUCAUUAUUAAAUGUAAAGGAUUGCACAAACAACUUAGCUUCCUGAAUCUUCCUGUUAUAGCUAGUCUGUGUGAUAACAUUUGGAAAGUUUGAUCAGAUCAUAGCACUGGUUUCAUUUAGCUUGAAUAAUUUAAACAUUGAAAUUAGCGUCGCAAAUACCUUGUUGAAUUACAGGAUUGAUCCAGUUGGAUUGUGUCAGAUAAUGCUGCAUGACAUGUUUAGGGAGACCUUAAAAGAGAAAGAAUUUUGUAUGGAUAAACUUAGAACACAUAUUUUGGAAAAAUCAGUCUAAUUAAUCAAUUUAAUCCAUCACAGCUCCAAAGUCUCCUGUUCAAUCCUAAACCCAGGUUACUGUGUGUAUGUGUGUGUGUGUGGAGUUUCUGUGCAUGGUCUCCCCAUAUCCACCCGAGUUUCUUCCAGGUUCUCUGGUUUUCUCCCACUUCCCAAAAACAUGCUAGUAGGUGGACUGGUUAAGAUACAUUGUCCCUAGGAGUGAAUGAGUGUGUGAAUAUGUGUGUGCCUUGUGCCCUGUGAUGGACUGGCAUCUCCUCCAGUGUGUGUUCCCGCCUCAGGGUCCUCAAGAUCCAUCACAAUCCUGACCAUGAUAAAGUGCUUACUGAAAGUGAGCGAGUAGCCAACUAAACAACUAGCAGGAAAAUAUAUUUUACACAAUGCUUUGGAGCUGAAAGCACAGUCACUCGGGCCUGUCCUAACUAUAGCCUUGUCCGAAUCAGCACACUGGUUAAUGUCCAUCUAUCCAUUUUCCCUACCGCUUAUCCUACACAGGGUCAUGGGGGAGCCUGGAGCCUAUCCCAGGGAACUCGGGGCACGAGGUGAAGGACACCCUUGACACACUACUGGCAUGCCCAUUAGCCUACAACACAUGUUACGGAGUACCCAGAGGAAACCCCCUGAAGCAGGGGAGAACACAAGGUACACAAGGCAGAGGCAGGAUUCAAACCCCCAACCCUUGAGGUGCGAGGCAAAUGCGCUAACUCCGUUGGUUAGCACACUAAGCCAUUGUGCCAACCAGUGGUUAAUGUCAGAAGCAGAAUUAUUUUGCAGUUCUAUUUAUGCAGCAGAAUGGGUCCCUGGAAGGCUAGUGGUUUGGCCACAGCACUCUCACUGCAGCCUGGGUUCAAUUCCUGGCCAGGGAACCGACCCCAGGCUUGCGUGCAACAGUGUGCUCUCAGUGCCAGUCCCAAGCCCAGAUAAAAAGUGGGGAGUGUUGCAUCUGGUGUAGAAACUGUGCCAUGUCAAAUACGCGGACCAGUGACCUGCUGUGGUAACCCCUAAUGGGUUGCAAGCUAUACAGUGCAUC
This is a long non-coding RNA of Pangasianodon hypophthalmus (striped catfish), 4442 nucleotides long. RefSeq lists it as uncharacterized. The record is from RefSeq and is a predicted model, not a curated record. Lineage: Eukaryota; Metazoa; Chordata; Actinopteri; Siluriformes; Pangasiidae. The transcript has 3 exons.